AUGUUCUACUCGCACUCCGUCCUGGCUCGGAAGAGCCCGCUGGGCACGGUGUGGAUCGCCGCGCACCUGGAGCGCAAGGCCAUCAACCGCACGCAGAUCGACGGCGUCGACGUCCGCUCCUACGCCGAGUCCAUAAUGGACCCCGAGGUCCCCAUCGCGCUCCGGCUGUCGGCGCACCUCCUCCUGGGCCUCGUCCGCAUCUACUCGUGGAAGGUGAACCACCUCUUCCAGGACUGCAACCGCAUGCUGAGCGCGAUCAGAACCGCCGCCGCCUUCGCCCCCGCGCGGGCGGACAUCGACCUGCCGUCCGACGCCGACCGCGCCCCCUUCGCGGCCAUCUCGCUGCCGGCGACCUUCAGCCUGGAUGACUGGAACCUGGACGACGCGAUCCUUCUGAUUGAGUCGCCGGACAACCACCGGAGAGCCGCCGAUGAGAUCACCUUGCCUGGAGAACAGUAUGUGAUGGUCACCCUUGAUGAGGACGGGCCGUCUCCUGCCUGUCGAUCCUUGCGCUUUGAGCCUGAGCCACAAGAGGAGGGAACAUUCCCUCCGUUUCCAGAGGAUUCAGUUUCUGUAGAUCUUCCGCCCCAGGAGAGUUUUCAUACCAAUGGGCGCCAAGAUUCACCGGAAAUAUUGCGUCGAGCGCCCGAUAGUGUGACAAGGUUUACUGAUGGCUCUGGCACUGACCCCAUGGACGAAGAUCCGUCGCCGUUCAUAGAAAAGGUUACCACACCACCGGCAGUGCACCCAUCUUUAUCCCCUGUUAGAGGAUCGUCUUUGCCUGGGACAUCCAUUCCAGACCUACCAACAGGUGUCAGCCAUGAUCCUAUGGAAGAAGAUGAAGAACCAGUCGGCACUGGAACCCUGGUACCAGCUGCAGCAUUUACCCUUGAACCAUCUCCACCUCCAGUUCAAGGUAACAAGAGAAAGAGAACGCAGAAUAAUGCACAAGAGAACCCGAGAAUCGACGAAAUAGUAGUGCUCUCCAACGACGAUAUGAGGUUGCAAGUCGAUGGCGAUGACUUGCAAAGGCUGGUCCGCAGGAGGAAGCCACUACCCCAUACAGCACUGGAUACGUGGAAAUUCAACAGGACAAGGCAAAGGGACAGCUUAUUCUCUGAACCCUUGGUACAAGGAAUGUGUGCUGAGCUUCAUAAAGCUUACGAGAGGAACGACCCUCGUGUGAGUGACUCUGAUGCUGAUGUUGCAAAUGCUGGUGACGGGGAUGCACCUCGAGGAAAUGCAGAUACACAUGAGCCUGAGCCUCACCUCACCCCAAUGUCUUCACAGGAGCCUGAACCUCACCUCACCCCAAUGUCUCCUGUAACCGGAGAAGCAACGCCAUUUGAUACGACACCUGAGCUCCCUCGGUUCUCUCUGCAAAUGGAUCUAUCUCCAGUAAGAGAAGAAGAUGACAGUCCUUUCAUCAAAACUCCUGCAGGUAGAAAUGGAACCCCAGGGUCUGGACUCGGAGGAACUGGUGCUACUGCUACUGCUACUGCACCGCCAACACAUGGCAGCGAUGCAACGCCUGGACAAAACACUCGUGAUUCUGAUCCUAACGGGUCUCAGUUCCCUUUCGGCGACGACUACCUCGAUGAAGAUCUGCCAGAGAUUCCAGGCCUCAUGAACACCCCUAGCGUGGCAUCUAGUGCGGAUACCGGCGCCACAGGACUGAGCAGCAUGUCUACUAGGACAAGGGCUGCCGCCAAGUUCUACAAAGGCAUGAUGUCCUCAGCCACAUCAGAGGACCAGCAGCGAGGGAAAUUCAGUUUGAGCAUAAUCUUGGACGGGAGGACAAGGAAGCAAGCUGCGAGCAUGUUCUUCGAGACAUUGGCCCUGAAGAGUUACGAUUAUAUCGACGUAUAUCAAGAAGAGGCGUAUGGUGACAUUUCAGUUUCAGUUAGACCCUCGCUCUCGGGCGCCAAACUUUGA
This 1935-nucleotide ribosomal RNA is filed under the name Triticum aestivum (bread wheat). RNAcentral describes it as "partial small subunit ribosomal RNA". Lineage: Eukaryota; Viridiplantae; Streptophyta; Magnoliopsida; Poales; Poaceae. The record is from RNAcentral.